Molecule: ribosomal RNA, 271 nt
Filed under: Francisella tularensis subsp. holarctica
Lineage: Bacteria; Pseudomonadati; Pseudomonadota; Gammaproteobacteria; Thiotrichales; Francisellaceae
Description: partial 23S ribosomal RNA
Rfam family: Bacterial large subunit ribosomal RNA
Source: RNAcentral
UGCUCUUUGAGCUGUUGGGGGGUGCAGAUACCAGGUGGCUGCGACUGUUUAUCAAAAACACAGCACUCUGCGUAAUCGUAAGAUGAAGUAUAGGGUGUGACGCCUGACCGGUGCUGGAAGGUUAAUUGAAGGGGUUAGCGCAAGCGAAGCUCUGGAUCGAAGCCCCAGUAAACGGCGGCCGAAACUAUAACGGUCCUAAGGUAGCGAAAAUCCUUGUCGGGUAAGUUCCGACCUGCACGACUGGCCUAACGAUGGCCACACUGUCUCCACC